GACGAACGCUGGCGGCGUGCCUAAUACAUGCAAGUAGAACGCACAGUUUAUACCGUAGCUUGCUACACCAUAGACUGUGAGUUGCGAACGGGUGAGUAACGCGUAGGUAACCUGCCUGGUAGCGGGGGAUAACUAUUGGAAACGAUAGCUAAUACCGCAUAAUAUUGAUUAUUGCAUGAUAAUUGAUUGAAAGAUGCUAUUGCAUCACUACCAGAUGGACCUGCGUUGUAUUAGCUAGUAGGUGAGGUAACGGCUCACCUAGGCGGCGAUACAUAGCCGACCGGCGAUGGUGAGCGGCCAGCCUGGGACUGAGACCCGGCCCAGACGCCUUCGGGAGGCAGCCGUAGGGAAUCUUCGGCAAGGGACGAAAGUCUGACCAAGCAACGCCGCGUGAGUGAAGAAGGUUGUCGGAUCGUAAAGCUCUGUUGUAAGAGAAGAACGGGUGUGAGAGUGGAAAGUUCACACUGUGACGGUAUCUUACCAGAAAGGGACGGCUAACUACGUG
RNAcentral lists this ribosomal RNA (505 nucleotides) under uncultured bacterium. RNAcentral's name for it is "partial 16S ribosomal RNA". It matches the Rfam family "Bacterial small subunit ribosomal RNA", at positions 28 to 507 of the family's 1533-position model. The record is from RNAcentral.